This 254-nucleotide ribosomal RNA is filed under the name uncultured bacterium. Its description in RNAcentral is "partial 16S ribosomal RNA". It matches the Rfam family "Bacterial small subunit ribosomal RNA", at positions 524 to 776 of the family's 1533-position model. The record is from RNAcentral.
UACGUAGGGCGCAAGCGUUGUCCGGAAUUAUUGGGCGUAAAGAGCUCGUAGGCGGCUUGGCAAGUCGGGUGUGAAAACUUCAGGCUCAACCUGGAGAUGCCACUCGAUACUGCUAUGGCUUGAGUCUGGUAGGGGAGCACGGAAUUCCUGGUGUAGCGGUGAAAUGCGCAGAUAUCAGGAGGAACACCGGUGGCGAAGGCGGUGCUCUGGGACGGUACUGACGCUGAGACGCGAAAGCGUGGGGAGCGAACAGG